This 869-nucleotide ribosomal RNA is filed under the name Neofabraea kienholzii. Its description in RNAcentral is "partial large subunit ribosomal RNA". It matches the Rfam family "Eukaryotic large subunit ribosomal RNA", at positions 53 to 940 of the family's 3401-position model. Lineage: Eukaryota; Fungi; Ascomycota; Leotiomycetes; Helotiales; Dermateaceae. The record is from RNAcentral.
GAGGAAAGAAACCAACAGGGAUUACCUCAGUAACGGCGAGUGAAGCGGUAACAGCUCAAAUUUGAAAUCUGGGUCUUUCAGGCUCCGAGUUGUAAUUUGUAGAAGAUGCUUCGGGUGCGGCUCCGGUCUAAGUUCCUUGGAACAGGACGUCAUAGAGGGUGAGAAUCCCGUAUGUGAUCGGUUGCUUGCGCCCAUGUGAAGCUCUUUCGACGAGUCGAGUUGUUUGGGAAUGCAGCUCCAAAUGGGUGGUAUAUUUCAUCUAAAGCUAAAUAUUGGCCAGAGACCGAUAGCGCACAAGUAGAGUGAUCGAAAGAUGAAAAGCACUUUGGAAAGAGAGUUAAACAGUACGUGAAAUUGUUGAAAGGGAAGCGCUUGCAACCAGACUUGCGUGUCGUCGAUCAUCCGGGGUUCUCCCCGGUGCACUCGGCUUCACUCAGGCCAGCAUCGGUUUCGGUGGUUGGAUAAAGGCCUUGGGAAUGUAGCUCCUCUCGGGGAGUGUUAUAGCCCUCGGUGCAAUGCAGCCUACCGGGACCGAGGACCGCGCUUCGGCUAGGAUGCUGGCGUAAUGGUUGUAAGCGACCCGUCUUGAAACACGGACCAAGGAGUCUAACAUCUAUGCGAGUGUUUGGGUGUCAAACCCAUACGCGUAAUGAAAGUGAACGGAGGUGAGAACCCUUAAGGGUGCAUCAUCGACCGAUCCUGAUGUCUUCGGAUGGAUUUGAGUAAGAGCAUAGCUGUUGGGACCCGAAAGAUGGUGAACUAUGCCUGAAUAGGGUGAAGCCAGAGGAAACUCUGGUGGAGGCUCGCAGCGGUUCUGACGUGCAAAUCGAUCGUCAAAUUUGGGUAUAGGGGCGAAAGACUAAUCGAAC